GCCCUUGUAGUUCAACGGAUAGAACGGAAGUUUCCUAAACUUUAAAUACAGGUUCGAUUCCUGUCAGGGGUA
Molecule: transfer RNA, 72 nt
Filed under: Bacteroidales bacterium
Lineage: Bacteria; Pseudomonadati; Bacteroidota; Bacteroidia; Bacteroidales
Also listed under: 1 other name
Description: tRNA-Arg
Rfam family: tRNA
About the family: Transfer RNA (tRNA) molecules are approximately 80 nucleotides in length.
Source: RNAcentral